This 23-nucleotide non-coding RNA is filed under the name Arabidopsis thaliana (thale cress). The record is from RNAcentral. Lineage: Eukaryota; Viridiplantae; Streptophyta; Magnoliopsida; Brassicales; Brassicaceae.
AGGGAAUAUAGACAACUAGGCGC